Molecule: ribosomal RNA, 324 nt
Filed under: uncultured eukaryote
Lineage: Eukaryota
Description: partial 18S ribosomal RNA
Rfam family: Eukaryotic small subunit ribosomal RNA
Source: RNAcentral
CCCUUAGAUGUUCUGGGCUGCACGCGUGCUACAAUGGCGCUUGCAACAAGUCUUGCCAACCCGAUAGGGUGAGCGGAUCUUUGAAGAGGCGUCGUGAUCGGGACAGUUGAUUGCAAUUAUUCGACUCGAACGAGGAAUUCCUUGUAAUCGCGAUUCAUCAUAUCGCGCUGAAUACGUCCCUGCCCUUUGUACACACCGCCCGUCGCUCCUACCGAUUGAGUGGUCCGGUGAGGCUUUGGGAUCUGGAUGGAAAGAGCGUUUCGCUGUUUCUGCCCGGAAAACUCAGUCGAACCUUAUCAUUUAGAGGAAGGAGAAGUCGUAACA